CCUGGCGGCCGUAGCGCGGUGGUCCCACCUGACCCCAUGCCGAACUCAGAAGUGAAACGCCGUAGCCCAUGCCGAACUCAGAAGUGAAACGCCGUAGCGCCGAUGGUAGUGUGGGGUCUCCCCAUGCGAGAGUAGGGAACUGCCAGGC
RNAcentral lists this ribosomal RNA (148 nucleotides) under Escherichia coli. Lineage: Bacteria; Pseudomonadati; Pseudomonadota; Gammaproteobacteria; Enterobacterales; Enterobacteriaceae. The record is from RNAcentral.